RNAcentral lists this ribosomal RNA (253 nucleotides) under uncultured bacterium. Its description in RNAcentral is "partial 16S ribosomal RNA". It matches the Rfam family "Bacterial small subunit ribosomal RNA", at positions 524 to 776 of the family's 1533-position model. The record is from RNAcentral.
UACGAAGGGUGCUAGCGUUGUUCGGAAUCACUGGGCGUAAAGCGCGCGUAGGCGGCGCCGCAAGUCAGAGGUGAAAGCCUGGAGCUCAACUCCAGAAUUGCCUUUGAAACUGCGGUGCUAGAGUGUCGGAGGGGAUAGCGGAAUUGCUAAUGUAGAGGUGAAAUUCGUAGAUAUUAGCAGGAACACCGGUGGCGAAGGCGGCUAUCUGGACGACAACUGACGCUGAGGCGCGAAAGCGUGGGGAUCAAACAGG